CUUAGUGGGCCAUGCUUUGCAUUGCUGCACAAAGUUAUUCAGGACCUGAUGACGAUCAAUCUUCCGGCUUCCAGACUGGAGAGAAGUGCUACAUUUGCAAAAGGGAUGUUGAUUACGCGCCAACAGGCACAAUGUCCAAGCCCAGCGGGACAAUUCCUACUGUGGUUCUUGCGUGCGACCACGUAUUUCAUGAAUGCUUGUGCCAUGGGUGAGCGAUAACAUGUCCAACUCACAAUUUGAAGUCUGGUUUUCAGGUAGUUUUUUGGAGUGAAAUGUAACUGUAAAUAGCCAGAAUUGAAAGAUGAGUUUACAAGUAACUAGUCAGGGUGUAGAUAUGAAAGUGAUGCGUUCUUGCUUCGGUUA
Molecule: long non-coding RNA, 363 nt
Organism: Magnolia sinica
Lineage: Eukaryota; Viridiplantae; Streptophyta; Magnoliopsida; Magnoliales; Magnoliaceae
Exons: 2
Source: RefSeq, a predicted model, not a curated record